UUCUAUUAGAAAUAAUUAAUAGUAUAGUCUGCUCAAUGAAUAAUAAAUAUAAAUAGCCGCAAUAUUUGUGCUAAGGUAGCAUAAUCACUCGUUUCUUAAUUAGAAACUAGAACAAAAGACUGAACAUUUCAAAAAAUUUCUUAAAUUUAUCUCUUUAAUCUAUCUUAAAUGUAAUAAGACAUUUAUAAAAAAGAAAGACGACAAGACCCUAUUGAACUUAACUUUAGUUAAACUGGGGCAGUUAAUUAAUUAACAUUUUAAUUAAAAUAUUUAAAUAAUUGACCUAAUAUAAUUAAUAAUAUAAUCAAGUUACCAUAGGGAUAACAGCAUAAUAUAAAUUUAAAGUCCUCAUUUAAAUAAAUGAUUAUGACCUCGAUGUUGAAUAAUAUCCUUUAAUCACGCAAAAGUAAUAAAAGGAAGUCUGUUCGACUUUUAAACAAUUACA
Molecule: ribosomal RNA, 445 nt
Filed under: Vectius niger
Lineage: Eukaryota; Metazoa; Arthropoda; Arachnida; Araneae; Gnaphosidae
Description: partial 16S ribosomal RNA
Source: RNAcentral